AAAACUGAACCGCAUCAACUAAA
Molecule: small nuclear RNA, 23 nt
Filed under: Arabidopsis thaliana (thale cress)
Lineage: Eukaryota; Viridiplantae; Streptophyta; Magnoliopsida; Brassicales; Brassicaceae
Description: snRNA_10469
Source: RNAcentral